Long non-coding RNA from Venturia canescens, 546 nucleotides. RefSeq lists it as uncharacterized. Lineage: Eukaryota; Metazoa; Arthropoda; Insecta; Hymenoptera; Ichneumonidae. The transcript has 2 exons. The record is from RefSeq and is a predicted model, not a curated record.
UUAAAAGAAAAAAAAACAACAAACAAAUUUUAAAAAAAGUUGGAUCAGUGUUCUGUGUUCUGCUCUCCGUGGAUGAUCUUGGGAACUACGAAUUUGUAUGCGAAUUGGAGUAAAAACUGACAGGAUUUGUAAUUAUCCACUUUCUUCUUUUUUUGACCGCCAUUUAGAAUAUUCAGAAAACUAGCAUCGAAUUCAUAAUUAUGCAGCAUCCUCGGAAACUCCCAAGUAUUUAUUGUUAUGAGCGUAUUAAAUCCAUUUUUGAAGUUACGAAUUUUUUAAAUUUGACAUCGAGUUCAGAAAUCGACGAAAAUUGCGUUACUAUAAAAAAAGUCGGGACUGAAAGGAUUAAAAACUUGAUUACGAAUCCGGCAUUAGAUUUUUAAAAUUCAAAAUGACGGUAUCAAUAUGGUGGCAGUCAAAUUCUGAAAUCUCCUCAAUAUUUUUAAAACUCUGAACCUAGGGGUUUGCGGUGUAACUAAUUACAAAAAAAAUGUAUGGCAAAUCUAUUGAAGAGUUCAUAAUAUAAUUUUUGACCGUGUAUAUUAA